UAUCUCUGUAGAGUCUGCAUAUCAAUAAGCGGAGGAAAAGAAACUAACUAGGAUUCCCCUAGUAACGGCGAGUGAAGCGGGAAGAGCUCAAAUUUGAAAUCUUAAAGGGUUCUACCUUGACGAAUUGUAGUUUAAAGAAGUGUUUUCUGUUGGAGUUUCGGUAAAAGUUCUUUGGAAUAGGACAUCAUAGAGGGUGAGAAUCCCGUAUUUGACCAUUUCUUCCAGCUGUGUGAUACACUUUCAAAGAGUCGGAUUGUUUGGGAAUUGCAGUCCAAAAUGGGUGGUAAAUUUCAUCUAAAGCUAAAUAUUGGCGAGAGACCGAUAGCGAACAAGUACCGUGAGGGAAAGAUGAAAAGAACUUUGAAAAGAGAGUUAAACAGUACGUGAAAUUGUCAAAAGGGAAGCGUUUGACACCAGUGUUGUUUUCUCGAAAAUCAAUUAAAAAUGGCCGGAUUUUGUGUUGUAUUGACUUUAUCAGCUUUCUGCACAUUUUUCUUGUCUUUUUUAAUGCACUUUUCGUUUAACAAGUCAACAUCAAUUUCUUUUGUUGUAAAAGAGUACAUUGGAAGGUGGCUUUCACUUCGGUGAAAGUGUUUAUAGCCUUUGACUUCUGCAAUCGGAGAGAUUGAGGUCUGCAGCGUAGAUCCUUCGGGGUUAGAUACAUUUGUGCUAAGUUAUAAUUUUUUCAUAGACAACAUGUUGACUAUAAUUAAUCAUGUAGCUUACUCGCUUAUGCUAUUUUACCUACGCUUAGGAUGUUGAGUAGCGACAUACGCAC
Molecule: ribosomal RNA, 778 nt
Filed under: uncultured Neocallimastigales
Lineage: Eukaryota; Fungi; Neocallimastigomycota; Neocallimastigomycetes; Neocallimastigales
Description: partial large subunit ribosomal RNA
Rfam family: Eukaryotic large subunit ribosomal RNA
Source: RNAcentral